AAACGCCUCCUGACCCUGACGUGGCUGGGCGAGCUGCAGAAGUGCCGAGUCCGACCAGGGGCAGCCUCGCCCGCCGCUCAGCUCGGGAAUCCCCGCCCCCCACCAGCUCCUCAGUGGGGGGUACCGCAAGUUCAAGCACCAGCCUCACAGUAACAGCCGGCACACAGCCCUUAGGCUGCCUGGUGUUCCAGAAGCUUCUGCAGUGGCUAUGCGGGGACUACGCUGAGCUCAAGGCACCCAUAAGAGGAGGGCAUUUUGCUGUCCCCACUUUACCAAGAAGGAACUGGGGCUUGGGGUGGUUUAAGGCGUGAAUGAAUGAAGGAGCAAGCAGUAAACCCCGACAACAAGGCCACCACAGCCCUCACCCGACUGAGACGCCCGAGCAAGGACCCAAGCAGGGGACGAGCAGGCUUACCCCCCACUCGCCAGGCUGACCAUGAGGCCCCAUCCGGUGGAACGCGCCAUGACACUUCAGAAGGCUCAUGUAGCUGGGGCUGUAUCAGUCAGCAGGGGGGAGAGAAAAUGCACAGCCCAGGGAAUGUGGAGACAGGCCCAGCCCUGGGCACGGGGGCCGGAAGGAGCAACUGGGGAUCAGCGAGCAGGGCCUGGGGCGGCCUUGCAGAUCUGAACCUGCCCCAGCCCCAGGACUCUUAAGUGCAUCCAGAGGGGAGCCAGGCUGGAGAGUGGGGAGCACAGAGACUGUGGCCUGGAUGGUGCCAGAGCGAACGGGAGAAAGGCUCCCCCACGCAGAGGCUGCGGCACAGCCCAGAGGGUCCUGGGGUUGGCUGGGCGGGGGCAGCUCCCAGCGAGAGGCCCCUGGGAUUUGGGUAAGUGGAGGCACAUGCAGACUCUGGCCACAGGGCACCUCGCACACGAGGGGAGUUCACCACACAAUUUGAGUGGAGGGCGGGCGCAGGAGAGCAGCGGUGUCCCAGAAGCCAAGGGUGGUCAUGGAGCCCCACGCCACAGCGCUUCCUACAGGGCCACACCAUCCGGUCUCUGGAGGGGGCUGCAUUGCUGGGAGGGACCCACCUGAUCCUGGAUUCCAGCCUCACCCUGGGUCACCGCUGAGUGUCCCAAGUGGCCCCUUAUCCCCCAGGGCCGGGCGGCGUCCCAACCCCCUUGGGAUGUCUGUGCUCAGAGUGUGGCAGACACGCCCCGGCAGGGACAUCCUCCUCCCCUGCACCCGCCACAGCCGUGGGUUCAGGGUCUCUAUCGUGGUCAGAGAUUCACACAGUCAAGGUGAGGGUCCCAGGGGCACCUGUGACCAGGCCCUGGCUGCCACGGAGAGGGGGACCCUUAACCAGCGGGGCAGACAACCUGAGAUGGACCCUCGUCCAGGGGAGGGCCCCGCCACCCACAACUCCUUGGCAUUCCUGCACCAGCAGGACGGGCUGGAGGAGGUGGCCGCAGGGCGCCUCGCCGGUGUCAGUGCCCAGCAUCACUGUGCCCCGGUGGAGGGGGAGGCCGCUCCGAGCCUGGGCCUGGAUGUGAAUGAGGGCAGAUUUCCAUCUCUCUGACCUCAGCUUCCUCAACUGGGAAGGGGAGCCGCAGCACCUGCUUGGGGUGAUGAGGAAGGGGGAGGUCAGGGAGAGCCCUGGGCAGGGCUGCCUCCUCACCUUCCUUCAGCCUUUGGACAUGAGCGCAGAGGACCAAGUGAAUGAAUGAAUGACUCAGUCAAUCAACUGAUCCAUCAAUCCAUGGAUCUCUGGACAGUCGGACAGCUGGGCAGCGGGCAGGAUGGGGGACUCUCGCUGAAGCCGCAUUCAUAUGUGUUCAGCUUUAGGCCCACCACUGUGCCCGGACCAGCAGCCCACUCGGUGAGUCGAACGUGCACCUGGCACCCCUCUUUUUGGAAAUCCACGAACACUGGGCUCCCAGCAGAGACUGAGGCUGAGCAGGCCACUUCCCUGGAGCUGACUCCACAGCUGUCCUGCUCCUCUUUCACCUUCUGCCAUGACUGUAAGCUUCCUGAGGGCUGACCAGAAGCCCAGCAGAUGCCAGCACCAUGCUUCCUAUACAGCCUGCAGAACUGCAAGCCAACUAAACCUCUUCUCAUGAAUUACUCAGCUUCAGAUUUAUCUUUAUAGCAAUGCAAGACCUGACUAUUACAACACAUGCUCCCCAAAAUAAAAAGAAAUAUUCAAACAAAUAGGCACACAGGAGUCUUCCCAGUGGCACUAUUCACAGCAGACAAAAGGUGGCGGUAGCCACAGGCCUGUCAGCUGAUGAUAGAUAAAGAAAGCAUGGCCUGUCAUCCCAGCAUUUUAGGAGGCCGAGGCGGGCAGAUCACCUGAGGUCAGGAGUUCAAGACCAGCCUGGCCAACAUGGUGAAACCCCGUCUCCACUAAAAAUAUAAAACUUAGCCAGGUGUGGUGAUGAGUGCCUGUAGUACCAGCUACUCGGGAGGCUGAGGCAGGAGAAUUGCUUGAACCCAGGAGGCAGAGGUUGCAGUGAGCUGAGAUCAUGCCAUUGCACUGCAGCCUGGGUAACAGAGUGAGACUCUGUCUCUAAAUAAAUGAAUAAAUAAAUGAAGUGCGGCAUAUCCAUGCAGGGGAAUAGCAUUCAGCCCUAAAAAGGGAUGAUGUGGGGACACGGGCGGUAACAUGAAGUGCCUGAAAACCCUGCUCGGCGGGAGAAGCAGACUCAGAGACCGCCAGUUGCACAAUUCCGCUGAUAGGAGAUGCACAGAGCGGCAGCUCCAUGGAGACAGAAAGCAGAUUCCGCGGUGCGGGGGUGGGGAGAGGAAUAGGAGUGACUGCCUAAUGGGCUCCAGAGCUCCUCAGGGGGUGACAAAAGUGUCUGGGGAGUAGACAGAGGUGGUGGCUGCACAGUGUGGCAAAUGCACUAAAUGCCACUGAACCACACUCUUUAAAGUGGUCAUUUUAUGUCACGUGCAUUUCACCUGUUUUUUUUUAAAAAAAAAAAAAAAAAACCCGUUCAGAGUCCAGCCCCAACCCUCUCUCAGUGACCUCUGCCCUGGGACACAGGGCCACCCAGACCGUGAGCUUGGGUCCCCUCAGGCUGCCCACUGAGGAGGGGCAGCUACUGCUGAGGUCUGACCUUGCCUCUCCUGAUGCCCCAGCCACACUUGGGAGAGAGGAAGGGUGGGGGGUGGCUGCCCUUCUGGCCAAAGACACCGUCCCAGGGCCAGUCACAGGUUUGCCAGGAAGGGCCGUAAGAGACCUCAGCAUUAGCACUGCCCAAGCCCGUCUGCUGCUGGCAUAUUCCCUGUGUGGGGACAGAGUAAUGCCCACUACCCCUAAGGAUGUCCAAGAAUCCGUGGCCAUGCCACCUUAUGUGGCAGCAGGGACUCUGCAGGAGGGACGGAGCCGGAUGCUGUGUGUGGGCCCAGUGUCCUCACAGGGUCCUUAUGAGAGGGGGUGGGAGGGUCAGAGUCAGGGGGAGCCUGGAAGACACAGCACAGCUGGAUUUAAGGUGGAGGAGGGGCCACGGGUGAAGGGGCGCAGCAGCCUCCAGGUCCCGGAGGGAGCAGUACCCGAAUUCUCCCCAGGGCCUCCAGCAGCCAGCCCUGCCAACACCUGGACUUUAGAUUUCUUUCCCUUUCGGAGCUGCAAGACAAUAAACUGUGGCUUUUGUUACAGCAGCCA
This is a long non-coding RNA of Mandrillus leucophaeus (drill), 3611 nucleotides long. RefSeq lists it as uncharacterized. The record is from RefSeq and is a predicted model, not a curated record. NCBI's taxonomy places the organism in Eukaryota, Metazoa, Chordata, Mammalia, Primates, Cercopithecidae. The transcript is spliced from 7 exons.